ACKGCUCAGUAACACGUGGACAAUCUGCCCUGAAGAAGAGAAUAAUCCCGGGAAACUGGGGGUAAUGCUCUAUAGUCCGGGGGAACUGGAAUGUUUUCCGGAUGAAAGAUCCGUCGCUUCAGGAUGAGUCUGCGGCCGAUUAGGUAGUUGCUGGGGUAAAAGCCCAACAAGCCCGUAAUCGGUACGGGUUGUGGGAGCAAGAGCCCGGAGAUGGAUUCUGAGACACGAAUCCAGGCCCUACGGGGCGCAGCAGGCGCGAAAACUUUACAAUGCGGGCAACCGUGAUGAGGAAACCCCGAGUGCCAGCACAGGCUGGCUGUCCGCCAGUGUAAACAACUGGUGAAGAAAGGGCCGGGCAAGACCGGUGCCAGCCGCCGCGGUAAUACCGGCGGCUCGAGUGGUGGCCGCUUUUACUGGGCUUAAAGGGUCCGUAGCUGGAUUCACAAGUCCCUUGAGAAAUCCAUCGGCUUAACUGAUGGGCGUUCAGGGGAUACUGUGGUUCUAGGGACCGGGAGAGGUGAGAGGUACUGCCGGGGUAGGAGUGAAAUCCUGUAAUCCCGGUGGGACGACCUAUGGCGAAGGCAUCUCACCAGAACGGCUCCGACAGUGAGGGACGAAAGCUGGGGGAGCAAACCGGAUUAGAUACCCGGGUAGUCCCAGCUGUAAACGAUGCGCGUUAGGUGUGUCAGUGACCACGUGUCACUGAGGUGCCGAAGGGAAACCGUGAAACGCGCCGCCUGGGGAGUACGGUCGCAAGGCUGAAACUUAAAGGAAUUGGCGGGGGAGCAC
This 789-nucleotide ribosomal RNA is filed under the name uncultured Methanomicrobiales archaeon. RNAcentral's name for it is "bacterial SSU rRNA". It matches the Rfam family "Archaeal small subunit ribosomal RNA", at positions 85 to 879 of the family's 1478-position model. Lineage: Archaea; Methanobacteriati; Methanobacteriota; Methanomicrobia; Methanomicrobiales. The record is from RNAcentral.